AACGAACGCUGGCGGCAUGCCUAACACAUGCAAGUCGAACGAGGGCUUCGGCCUUAGUGGCGCACGGGUGCGUAACGCGUGGGAAUCUGCCCUUUGGUUCGGAAUAACAGCUGGAAACGGCUGCUAAUACCGGAUGAUGACGAAAGUCCAAAGAUUUAUCGCCAGAGGAUGAGCCCGCGUUGGAUUAGGUAGUUGGUGGGGUAAAGGCCUACCAAGCCGACGAUCCAUAGCUGGUCUGAGAGGAUGAUCAGCCACACUGGGACUGAGACACGGCCCAGACCCCUCCGGGAGGCAGAAGGGGGGAUUAUGGAAAAAGGGGCGCAGCCCUGAUCCGCAAAUGCCGGGUGAGUAAGGAAGCCCUGGGGGUUGAAAAGCCUUUUUACCCGGGAAGAUAAUGACGGUCCGGGGAAAAAAAGCCCCGGCUAACUCCGUG
This 433-nucleotide ribosomal RNA is filed under the name uncultured bacterium. Its description in RNAcentral is "partial 16S ribosomal RNA". It matches the Rfam family "Bacterial small subunit ribosomal RNA", at positions 29 to 507 of the family's 1533-position model. The record is from RNAcentral.